GUCCUAGCUGUAAACGGUGCAUGUUUGCUGUAAAAGGAAUCGACCCCUUUUGUGGCGUAGCCAACGCGUUAAACAUGCCGCCUGGGAAGUACGGUCGCAAGAUUAAAACUACAAAGAAAUUGACGGGGGCCUUCACAAGCGGUGGAGUAUGUGGCUCAAUUCGAUGCAACGCGAAGAACCUUACCUGGCCUUGACAUGUAUCUAGUAGAAGGGUGAAAGCCUGACGAGGUAGCAAUACCAGGAUACACAGGUGCUGCAUGGCUGUCGU
Molecule: ribosomal RNA, 268 nt
Filed under: uncultured bacterium
Lineage: Bacteria
Description: partial 16S ribosomal RNA
Rfam family: Bacterial small subunit ribosomal RNA
Source: RNAcentral